AUUGAACGCUGGCGGCAGGCCUAACACAUGCAAGUCGAGCGGAUGAAGGGAGCUUGCUCCUGGAUUCAGCGGCGGACGGGUGGGUAAUGCCUAGGAAUCUGCCUGGUAGUGGGGGAUAACGUCCGGAAACGGGCGCUAAUACCACAUACGUCCUUAUGGUGAAAGUGAGGGAUCUUCGGACCUCACGCUAUCAGAUGAGCCUAGGUCGGAUUAGCUAGUUGGUGGGGUAAAGGCCUACCAAGGCGACGAUCCGUAACUGGUCUGAGAGGAUGAUCAGUCACACUGGAACUGAGACACGGUCCAGACUCCUACGGGAGGCAGCAGUGGGGAAUAUUGGACAAUGGGCGAAAGCCUGAUCCAGCCAUGCCGCGUGUGUGAAGAAGGUCUUCGGAUUGUAAAGCACUUUAAGUUGGGAGGAAGGGCAGUAAGUUAAUACCUUGCUGUUUUGACGUUACCAACAGAAUAAGCACCGGCUAACUUCGUG
This 484-nucleotide ribosomal RNA is filed under the name uncultured bacterium. RNAcentral describes it as "partial 16S ribosomal RNA". It matches the Rfam family "Bacterial small subunit ribosomal RNA", at positions 30 to 507 of the family's 1533-position model. The record is from RNAcentral.